This 411-nucleotide long non-coding RNA is filed under the name Nicotiana benthamiana. RNAcentral's name for it is "long non-coding RNA (NBEN_LNC032916)". Lineage: Eukaryota; Viridiplantae; Streptophyta; Magnoliopsida; Solanales; Solanaceae. The record is from RNAcentral.
GAUAAUCAAGCAUAACACUCCAACCAAUUCCAUCAUCAGCUUCUCUAGUUGUCACUUUCUUGUAAAACCUUUUCCCCACAAUCGAUCCAGUCAUGAAUGACAUAGGCAUAGACACAGAUGCUGAAUCUUGUGAUGACAAAGGUGAAGUCAUUUUUGGACCAUUUAUGAUAAUAUUAUCAUGGGUUGUUGCUUUCCCCACAAUCGAUCCAGUCAAGAAUGACAUAGGCAUAGACACAGAUGCUGAAUCUUGUGAUGACAAAGGUGAAGUCAUUUUUGGACCAUUUAUGAUAAUAUUAUCAUGGGUUGUUGCAGAAUUUGGAUCUCCGCCGUGAAAAGUGAAGGAGGAAGAAGAUGGGUCAUCUGAUGAUUCGGGUUGUGCCGAAGUUGCUAAGUUACUGAAAUUACGGGUUU